CAAUCUCGUUCCCCGAGCCUGCGAUCCUCGGAAAGGAAUGCGAGGCUCUGGGAUAAUCCGUUGCCAGAAGCCAAGAAUCCUGGCUAAGAUUGAACUACGCAUUUCAUAUCAACGGCCAAUCAAAUUCCUCCCUGAAACGGAUUAUCCCAGAGCCUCACGUUCCUUCCCGAGGAUCGCAGGCUCGGGGAACGAGAUUGGAAAUGAAUGGAUUUGUGAAAUUGAGAGCCGUUUCAAAAUUGUCUACUUUUU
Molecule: non-coding RNA, 249 nt
Organism: Paramuricea clavata
Lineage: Eukaryota; Metazoa; Cnidaria; Anthozoa; Malacalcyonacea; Plexauridae
Source: the annotation of a GenBank genome assembly